CACGUAGGCGGCUAAGUCAGUCUGGUGUGAAAGCCCCCGGCUCAACCGGGGAACUGCAUCGGAUACUGCUUGGCUCGAGGAUGGUAGGGGUGAGUGGAACUCCUGGUGGAGCGGUGAAAUGCGUAGAUAUCAGGAGGAACACCAGUGGCGAAAGCGACUCACUGGGCCAUCUCUGACGCUGAGGUGCGAAAGCUAGGGUAGCGAACAGGAUUAGAUACCCUGGUAGUCC
Molecule: ribosomal RNA, 229 nt
Filed under: uncultured bacterium
Lineage: Bacteria
Description: partial 16S ribosomal RNA
Rfam family: Bacterial small subunit ribosomal RNA
Source: RNAcentral